This 2797-nucleotide long non-coding RNA is filed under the name Homo sapiens (human). RNAcentral's name for it is "HSALNT0196592". Lineage: Eukaryota; Metazoa; Chordata; Mammalia; Primates; Hominidae. The record is from RNAcentral.
AAAUGCUUUCAGCCAUGUCUGGUGUCAGAGGCAGGAGCUCCCACACUUAUGUGCUGCCUGGCUCCUCACCAAGACAGGUGCUAGACUAUCUCUGAGACUAUCUUUUCCCUUGAGGCAGCUGAGAGCUGGAGCAGCUUCAGAUGCCUCCAGAUCCUGGGCCCUUGAACUUCAACUCGAACUUGGCUCUAAAGUGUCGCCCUCAGCAAGAGUCAACGCAAUUGGGCCCUGGCUCCGUGAGGUGGACAGGGGCCUUGCUCGCUCCUUCUUCCCCAGCCCUGCCCCAUGGGGGAGAGAGAGAGGUCGUCAGGUGAGACGGAGUUUGUUUCAGCAAUGUGUUUAUGAGUCCCAAGAACUUAGGAUAAAGUUUCUGAAAUACUAGCCUGAGGAUGUCCCUCUUUGAGAAAAAGGGAAAAAGGACACCGCGGUUACCCCAGCUUUGUUAUUCAUGUAACAACGGCAGGGCAUUUGAGUUCUUUCUGUUUUCAUCCUACUUCCACUCCCACAUCUAAUCACUAACAUUUCUCUUGUUUUGCUGUUUGUUGCUUCCUUUCAUUCUCCCCAUCUGAGGUGGGUAGAAUUGUGUCCCUCCAAAAAAUGAUAUGUCCAAGUCCUAGGCCCCUGGUCCCUGUGAUUGCAGCCCUAUUUGGAAAUAGGGUCUUUGCAGAUGCAAAUGCAAUUAAAUCAAGAGGAGGGCCUGAGGGAUUCUGGCGGGCCCUAAUCCAAUAGGACAGGGGUCCUUAUGAGAAGAGGGACAUCCGGCCGGGCGCGGUAGCUCACGCCUAUAAUCCCAGCACUUUGAGAGGCCGAGGUGGGCGGAUCACCUGAGAUCAGGAGUUCGAGACCAGCCUGCCCAACGUGGUGAAACCCCGCCUCUACUAAAAAUACAACAAAUUAGCUGGGCGUGGUGGUGGGCACCUGUAAUCCCAGCUGCUCAGGAGGCUGAGGCAGGAGAAUCCAUUAGAACCCGGGAGGCGGAGGUUGCAGUGAGCCAAGAUCGUGCCACUGCACUCCAGCCUGGGCAACAAGAGCGAAACUGCACCUCAAAAAAAAAAAAAAACAAAAAAGAAGGAGAAGAAGGACAUCUUGUCACAGAGGCACAUACAAAAUGUCAUGUGCCAUUGAGGCAGAGAUUGCAGUGCUGUAUCUGCAAGCCAAGAAAUGCCGAGGGCUGCUGGCAGCCACCAGAGGUCGAAGGAGGCAAAGAAGGCUUCUCCCCACCCCAGGCUUCAGAGGGCUCUGCUGAUGCCUUCGUUUCUGAUUUCUGCCCUCCAGAAAGAAGUAAAGUGGCUGGGCGUGCUGGCUCACGCCUGUAAUCCUAGCAUUUUGGGAGGCCGAGGUGAGCAGAUCAUGAGGUCAAGAGAUCGAGACCAUCCUGGCCAACGUGGCGAAACCCCGUCUCUACUAAAAAUACAAAAAUUAGCCGGGUGUGGUGGUGCACACCUGUAAUCCCAGCUACUUGGAAGCUGAGACAGGAGAAUCACUUGAACUCGGGAGGCAGAGGUUGCGGUGAGCCGAGAUUGUGCCUCUGCACUGCAGCCUGGGCAACAGAGCAAGACUCAGUCUCAAAAAAAAAAAAAAAAAGUAAAAAUCAAAGUUGUAUAAAAAGGGCCAGGCGCGGUGGCUCACGCCUGUAAUCCCAGCACUUUGGGAGGCCGAGGCGAGUGGAUCACGAGGUCAAGAGAUCAAGGUUGUAGUGAGUCGACGUCGCACUCCACUCCAAGCACCACUGCACUCCAGCCUGGCGACACAGCGAGAUUCCAUCUCAAAUAAAUAAAUAAAUAAAGUUAGAUUUAUAAAGUCGGGUCCAAAGAUUGAUUCCACAGAUUUGGGAUGAGCCCCUGAGAAAGCUGCAUUUUCAACUAAUCCAUGCCCCAGCCAAUCCUAAGGCAAGCUAAUGUCCAAGAACCAUUCUCACUGCCUACUACUGUCUGGCAGGGGCUGGGAUAUCAUGGGAGACAAAAAGGCACAGUUCCUAUUCUCAAAGAACUUCUAUUUCAGUGCAAACCACUGUUUAAAAAAGUAAAAAUCGGCCGGGCAUGGUGGCUCAUGCCUGUAAUCCCAGCACUUCAAGAGGCCAAGGCGGGCAAAUCACCUGAGGUCAAGAGUUCGAGACCAGCCUGGCCAACAUGGCGAAACCCUGUCUCUACUAAAUACAAAAAUUAGCUGGGCAUGGUGGCGGGCACCUGUAGUCCCAGCUACUUGGGAGGCUGAGACAGGAGAAUCACUUGAACCUGGGAGGUGGAGGUUGCAGUGAGCCGAGAUCACACCACUACACUCCAGCCUGGGUGACAGAGCAAGACUCUGUCUCAAAAAAAAAAAAAACAAAGUUGUAUAAAAAGGUGAAAGCCACCUGUGUUAGGGUAUACGUUAAGCUGCUAAGAGACCUCAAAAUACAGUGACUCUAACAAAUUAGAAACGUAUUCCUCUCUCCCUUAACAUCGCAGAGAUGGCUGCUAGUCCAAGAAGGCAGGAGAUUCGGCUCCACGUGGUCACCCAGGGACCCAGGGACCCCACCUCCUGCUGCUCCACCAUCCCCAGGGACAGAGCUGGCUUCUCGAACCCUGUCCACGUUCCAGCUCAAAGGGAGUGGGAAAUAGAGGUGGACAACCAGCUUCCCUUCUAACCAUCUGGCCUGGAAGUGUUCCCGUCACAUCAUCCACCUGUAUCUUAUAGGCGAGAACAUAGUCUCGAGGUCACACCUAGCUUCAGUGGAAGCUGGAAAACAUCACCUCUGGCUGGGUGACAUAUGCCCAUCUGGAAUUUUAGGGACUCUAAAACUAAAAAGAAAAGAGGAAUG